GGUGGAAGACCUCCUGCAGAUACUGGUCCAGACCGGUAGCCAGCACCACGAUCUCGUUCUCCACGCCGCGGUCCAGCCCGUAAUGAGAUGUGGUGUUGACUCCACUUGUUACCUGCCAUGGAAACCUUACCCAGCCAUGUUGGAGCAAAAGGCAAACUCCGUGGCCCUUGAUAGGCAGAUCUUGUUUUGUGUACACCUCUGAUUUUAAAUAUUAAAUCUCAGUUGAAAAGUA
Molecule: long non-coding RNA, 232 nt
Organism: Rattus rattus (black rat)
Lineage: Eukaryota; Metazoa; Chordata; Mammalia; Rodentia; Muridae
Exons: 2
Source: RefSeq, a predicted model, not a curated record